CAUGCUUUAUCGUGGACACAUGAGGCUGGUUCCAGACCCUUUAAAUGUCAGUCCAGUUCACCCGCUUUUAAACAGACCUUCCGAUGAUCAGACAAGGCCUUUUUGGGCCGACGCAUGUCCCAUAGCUCACCAUUAAAUAUGAGGCGGCCCGUACUUUUGGGCCCUCGAACGGCGGCGCCGGGACAGAUGAGAUGAUAUUUGAUAUUUCCCUUCAGCAGGCAAAGUAGCGCGCGAAACACAAUGUGAUUUGUGAUUGCUGGGACGGCGUCGUUGCAUGCCUCCUUCUCCUUCGGGCAGGCAGGCAGUUCGUUCGAAUGGCUCGUCGGAGCUCUUUCGUUCCGAAAUUUCGCUUCUUCCUUCCGAUUCUCUGCAGCCAAACGUCGCGCUCGAGUGGAAAUCGUCACUCAUCAUCUCCCCAGGUUUGACCUUGAGGUCUCCCUAGGUAUCUCACAUGGACCAAUCACCCUGCGUUUCCUGCAUUUCUCUCCUCUGUGUUUUCUUUGUUCUGGAGCUGUUCGAUUGAAUCAUCCUUGAUAGGUGCCAUGAGUACGGAAGAUUAGGUCAAUGAUAUCAAGUAAAUUGACUGGGGAAGGCUAGCAAGCGGAGUUUAUGAUUUUUAUGGUCUGAGGACGUACAAUUGUACAGAUGAUAAUAUGAAUCUACUGAGGGAUAGGCUACUGCGAUCUGCUCUCUUGAGCUGCAUCUCUUCUUUUUAUUAAUCAGGCGAAGUAGAAUGCAUAUAUCUUCUGGCACUGUCAAGAAUGGGACGAGAUCGAUGUCAGAGGGGAGAUGACAGGAGCCGUAGUUGCCUGACAAGUUAGAUAAAGCUAAAGCCGGAUAUUCUUCUUUCCCAGCCUGCAGGUACAGUGCCUCCUUUCUGAUGCCACUAUUUUGUACUGCUGGCAAGCUGUAUGGCUCUUGAUGGAUGGUUUAACCGAUUGAUGUAGGUUCAAAUAUGGAAACUUUUAUUCUUGAAUAUAUUUUAUUGCAUGGGAUACUAAAAGUGCACUUGCUUUGUCUAGACAAUCUUCUGAAAACUGAGUCUUGAAACUUCAAGUACAGUUGCUUCUCAAGUUGAAGGGGUUAUUUUGCAGGAACAUGUAAAGAAAUGAUGAAUCCAUUUUAUUUUCGUUUACUUCUGUUAUAAUUGUCUCAGAGGCUUAAGCCCCCUCUAGUCUCCGGUGAUAACCGUAGCUGUCUACUUCAUCCCGAAUGCUAGGUUACUCGAAUAAUCUUAAUUUGUUCCCUAUCGAUGAUCUGAGAUUCAAAAAGGUUCUGAAAAGUACUUAAAAAACUCGCAUGUUGGCUUUAUAAAUUAUAGGAAAGGGAAAAGAUGAUUCCCUUUUUUCAUUUUUCGCAUGUGCAAAUAGAGAUUAUUCUGAAGUACAUAUAUAUCACGUAAAAUGUUUUUGUGUAUACUGAUCUGUCUGAGGAUGCUGCCCACUUUAUGAACAGCUUCAGGCUUGGGCUAGAAAUUAUUCACCAUCGAUGAGUUAUAGUGUUCGAAAUCAAUGUCCUUGUGCCCCUUUCUGUUUGUAUCUUUGCAGUCUCACAAAUGAAGGGUACUUUGCAUUUUGUUGAUUUGUUCUUUCAACUUCAGUGCUUAUUUUUUAUAUAAGCAUAUACACGAGAACGGGCGAUUCGGAAGUCAGACAGAAGCAAACUAGACAAAAAAGACUAAGUUCUAUAUUAUCUUGUUUACACGUGCAGACUGCAGUCCAUCAAAGUAAUGAUAUCCUCAUCAUCACGGCAGAUCUACAUGAUUCUCUUUUCUGCUUUUGAAUGAAAACACAGUUCAAAGAGUGACUAAGAACUUGAUGUAUGCAUGACGGAAUUACUCUAAUCCUACUUGUACUUGAUGCAAAGCUAUAUGCAAGGCUUGUGGAAACCCAUAUGAUACAGG
Punica granatum (pomegranate) is the source of this 1903-nucleotide non-coding RNA. Lineage: Eukaryota; Viridiplantae; Streptophyta; Magnoliopsida; Myrtales; Lythraceae. The record is from RefSeq and is a predicted model, not a curated record.